RNAcentral lists this small RNA (946 nucleotides) under Pongo abelii (Sumatran orangutan). RNAcentral describes it as "retained intron". Lineage: Eukaryota; Metazoa; Chordata; Mammalia; Primates; Hominidae. The record is from RNAcentral.
UCGGCAGUGCCGGAGUCGGGUGGGUUGGCGGCUAUAAAGCUGGUGGCGAAGGGGAGGCGCCGCGGACUGUCCUUUCGUGGCUCACUCUGUUUCCUCUGCUGCCGCUCGGUCACGCUUGCUCUUUCACCAUGCCUGGAUCACUUCCUUUGAAUGCAGAAGCUUGCUGGCCAAAAGAUGUGGGAAUUGUUGCCCUUGAGAUCUAUUUUCCUUCUCAAUAUGUUGAUCAAGCAGAGUUGGAAAAAUAUGAUGGUGUAGCUGCUGGAAAGUAUACCAUUGGCUUGGGCCAGGCCAAGAUGGGCUUCUGCACGGAUAGAGAAGAUAUUAACUCUCUUUGCAUGACUGUGGUUCAGAAUCUUAUGGAGAGAAAUAACCUUUCCUAUGAUUGCAUUGGGCGGCUGGAAGUUGGAACAGAGACAAUCAUUGACAAAUCAAAGUCUGUGAAGACUAAUUUGAUGCAGCUGUUUGAAGAGUCUGGGAAUACAGAUAUAGAAGGAAUUGACACAACUAAUGCAUGCUAUGGAGGCACAGCUGCUGUCUUCAAUGCUGUUAACUGGAUUGAGUCCAGCUCUUGGGAUGGUAUGUUACAUGCGUAUUCCCUGCCGUCCCCCCAAAUUUUUUCUAAGGUUCAAUAGACCCAAAUGACACUUUAAUUAAUGCAAUAUGCAAACUUUUAUAAUUUAUCCUUGUUUGGCUAUAUUAAGAAAGAUAUUAUACCUGUCUGUCGUUAUCCGAAUUGUGAAUUGGUUAUCUUAUCUUGUAGGACAAAUGAUCUAUUCAAAAUUUAGUCAGAUGGGUGACAGAGCCCUGGCAGAUGAAUUAAAAAAAAUUAGAGCAUUUUCUUUCUUCAUCAAAGAAGGAAAAAGCAUAUUCUGGGGAAAAUAUAACAGACUUCAGUUUCCAUGUGUGGUUAUAGUAUUGAAUUCCUUCUUGUGAAAUAAUAAAAAAU